Molecule: signal recognition particle RNA, 247 nt
Filed under: Clostridiales bacterium
Lineage: Bacteria; Bacillati; Bacillota; Clostridia; Eubacteriales
Description: signal recognition particle sRNA large type
Rfam family: Bacterial large signal recognition particle RNA
About the family: The signal recognition particle (SRP) is a universally conserved ribonucleoprotein involved in the co-translational targeting of proteins to membranes. Archaeal SRP consists of a 7S RNA and homologues of the eukaryotic SRP19 and SRP54 proteins.
Source: RNAcentral
UCGAGCGAAGCAAUAAACCUGCAAUCCGCUAUAGCAGGGGUGAUGCCCGACCCGAGGCCUGACAGCGCUUGAGUGAAAGCGCGUAAGUGGUGUUGAGGGCCAGGUCUUGCGCAAUAAUGACCGAUGAACCGUGUCAGGGUCUGACGGCAGCAGCACUAAGUCGGCACCAUUAUGUGCCGCGAGGGUGCUUGGUCUGAGCCGGCUGCCCGUGGAAGCGAGGGUGACGAGGUCGACGGCGGGCGCACGA